UUUUACAAUGGAGAGUUUGAUCCUGGCUCAGGAUGAACGCUAGCUACAGGCCUAACACAUGCAAGUCGAGGGGAAACGGGAAAGCAGCUUGCUGCUUUUUGUCGUCGACCGGCGCACGGGUGAGUAACGCGUAUCCAACCUUCCCAUAACUAAGGGAUACCCCGUAGAAAUGCGGCCUAAUACCUUAUGUACUCCCAUGACGGCAUCAGAGUGGGAGCAAAGAAUUUCGGUUAUGGAUGGGGAUGCGUCUGAUUAGCUUGCUGGCGGGGUAACGGCCCACCAGGGCAUCGAUCAGUAGGGGUUCUGAGAGGAAGGUCCCCCACAUUGGAACUGAGACACGGU
Molecule: ribosomal RNA, 342 nt
Filed under: Megasphaera micronuciformis
Lineage: Bacteria; Bacillati; Bacillota; Negativicutes; Veillonellales; Veillonellaceae
Description: bacterial SSU rRNA
Rfam family: Bacterial small subunit ribosomal RNA
Source: RNAcentral